This 71-nucleotide transfer RNA is filed under the name Aureococcus anophagefferens. It matches the Rfam family "tRNA". From Rfam's summary of the family: Transfer RNA (tRNA) molecules are approximately 80 nucleotides in length. Their secondary structure includes four short double-helical elements and three loops (D, anti-codon, and T loops). The record is from Rfam by way of RNAcentral. Lineage: Eukaryota; Pelagophyceae; Pelagomonadales; Pelagomonadaceae.
ACACUAUUGGUGUAGUGGCAACAUAUUCGCCUUCCAAGCGAAUGCCCUGGGUUCGAUUCCCAGAUAGUGUA